AUUCGUUUUUUUAUAUAAAUCCUCGGGAAAACUAGGGAGAGAGAAAAUGGCGUUUCAUUUACCUCAUCAGCUCGGAGCUCUCGCCGGAACUCCGAUCAAGUCCCGUGAAACGAACGCAACGUCGCUGAAUUCAUCUCUAUCAGUUUCACCAGUCACCACCGUUGUCCGCGCGGAUGCAUAAAGCGAUUAAUCUGAAGAGUCUUGAGGCGUUGAAGAGUGGUGGCGUGGAAGGGAUCAUGAUCGACGUGUGGUGGGGUCUGGUGGAGAGGGAGUCUCCGGGAGGUUAUAAAUGGGCAGGGUACGAUGGCGAGGAAGGUUGAGCUCAAGGUUCAGGCUGUUAUGUCUUUUCAUCAGUGUGGUGGUAACGUUGGUGAUGUCACUAUUCCUCUGCUUCAGUGGGUUGUUGAAGAGGUUGACAAUGAUCCGGACCUUGCGUACACUGAUCAGUGGGGGGAGAAAGAAACACAAGUAUAUAUCACUUGGUGCUGAUACACUCCCUCUUCUCAAAGGCAGAACACCCUUGCAAUGCUACUGUGAUUUCAUGCGUGCUUUCAGAGACAACUUCAAGCAUCUUCUUGGAAACACCAUUGUGGAAAUUCAAGUGACAUUGGGACUAAUAGGAUUGAAACAUUUUUUUUCCAAAUUUUGUUUUGGAAUAAAAAUUUAAUAAGAUUAGAAAGCGAUAUCAACAUGUCUACUCUUAUAUAGAAUCACAGUAAAAGAUGAAACUAGACACAAUUAAUCUACUUUUCUA
Raphanus sativus (radish) is the source of this 754-nucleotide long non-coding RNA. RefSeq lists it as uncharacterized. The transcript has 3 exons. NCBI's taxonomy places the organism in Eukaryota, Viridiplantae, Streptophyta, Magnoliopsida, Brassicales, Brassicaceae. The record is from RefSeq and is a predicted model, not a curated record.